Drosophila ficusphila is the source of this 539-nucleotide long non-coding RNA. RefSeq lists it as uncharacterized. The transcript has 2 exons. NCBI's taxonomy places the organism in Eukaryota, Metazoa, Arthropoda, Insecta, Diptera, Drosophilidae. The record is from RefSeq and is a predicted model, not a curated record.
UUUACUUUUCUCUCUGUCGAAAACAAAUCUAAAUCUGUUAGUUUUUGCUUAUUAGAGACUGUUUAAAUUAUUAUUAAGGGAAUGUGCUCCCUAGAAAGUGCAUAAUUUCCGGACGGUCUGCUCAGUUUCAUUUCCUUCGCUUCGCUUAUCGCAUCAGGAGCUUGUGCUGCAGCUUGUUGCGGUUGCCACUCGGAGAAUGUCAUUAAGAGGAAGCUCAUCUCCUGCUGCACACGCAACUCCCUCCACAUGCCACAUAUCUCGGUGCCUCUGUGUGUGCGCAGAUAAGAGAUAACAAAGUAGCCGAGGAACACCUGGCCGGGUAAUUACCUCGACCGCCGCCCAAGGACUCCCCACUCCAAGCGACUCCCCAUUUCGGCCAAGUAAUCCUUUGUAAGCGGGGGGACAGGAGGCUAUAAAUUGAGGAAAGCAUGUGUCCAGCGGCAAAAAUGGACCUCGUUGCACGUGACAUUUAUAUGAUAGUGUAAACACAUCAUUUGCGCUAUUAUACAACACACUCGCAGUGUCGCUGGCUAAAAGUU